RNAcentral lists this transfer RNA (81 nucleotides) under Heterosternuta allegheniana. RNAcentral's name for it is "tRNA-Ser". Lineage: Eukaryota; Metazoa; Arthropoda; Insecta; Coleoptera; Dytiscidae. The record is from RNAcentral.
AAAAAAUUCUUUUAAUUAGGUUUGUAGUUAACUAAGUUUGCUAACUUUUGCCAAAAUCGCCGUUUCUGCGGCGAUUUUUUC